This is a long non-coding RNA of Gopherus flavomarginatus (Mexican gopher tortoise), 293 nucleotides long. RefSeq lists it as uncharacterized. Lineage: Eukaryota; Metazoa; Chordata; Testudines; Testudinidae. The transcript is spliced from 3 exons. The record is from RefSeq and is a predicted model, not a curated record.
GAGCUGUAUCUCUCAUUGAUCCAAGGUGUCUGAAGACCAGUAACUGAGGCAACCAAAAUCAGCAGCCCCUUUAAAAAGAAUGGCUUUAAGUGUCCAGAGGAACUACACAUUGAUCAAACAGGAAACAUUAAAAUUGCGAGUCUCAUCUUCUGCGGGGGUUCCGUUCCGCAGUUAGCACGUAAAGCGAAAACUGCGUGUAGUCAAAAUUACAUUGAGUUGAAUGGCUAGCGGAAUCGCCCGCACUACAGAAUACCUUCUUCAAGGGACAGCUAACAUAUACAGACUGCUAAGAG